Molecule: ribosomal RNA, 482 nt
Filed under: uncultured bacterium
Lineage: Bacteria
Description: bacterial SSU rRNA
Rfam family: Bacterial small subunit ribosomal RNA
Source: RNAcentral
AUUGAACGCUGGCGGCAGGCCUAACACAUGCAAGUCGAGCGCGAAAAGUUUUCGGACUUAGUAAAGCGGCGGACGGGUGAGUAACGCGUGGGAAUCUGCCCAGUAGUGGGGGACAACAGCCGGAAACGGCUGCUAAUACCGCAUACGCCCUACGGGGAAAGGGGGGGAGUCUUCGGACCUCUCGCUAUUGGAUGAGCCCGCGUCGGAUUAGCUAGUUGGUAGGGUAAAGGCCUACCAAGGCUACGAUCCGUAACUGGUCUGAGAGGAUGAUCAGUCACACUGGAACUGAGACACGGUCCAGACUCCUACGGGAGGCAGCAGUGGGGAAUAUUGGACAAUGGGGGCAACCCUGAUCCAGCCAUGCCGCGUGUGUGAAGAAGGCCUUAGGGUUGUAAAGCACUUUUCAGUGGGGAGAAAGGUUUGUCACCUAAUACGUGAUGAAAUUGAUGUUACCCACAGAAGAAGCACCGGCUAACUCCGUG